RNAcentral lists this transfer RNA (525 nucleotides) under uncultured Prochlorococcus sp. Its description in RNAcentral is "partial 16S-23S ribosomal RNA intergenic spacer". The stretch from base 210 to 282 matches the Rfam family "tRNA". Lineage: Bacteria; Bacillati; Cyanobacteriota; Cyanophyceae; Synechococcales; Prochlorococcaceae. The record is from RNAcentral.
CAGGGAGACAACAAAAUGUUUAAUAUUAUUAUUUUGUCACUUAGGUCGAUCGGUAUCUCACGUUUUUAAUUUAUUAAGAAUUUCAUUUCCUAAGUUUUUCUAGGUCACACCCAUUAUUUUCCUGGGCCAUUAGCUCAGGUGGUUAGAGCGCACCCCUGAUAAGGGUGAGGUCCCUGGUUCAAGUCCAGGAUGGCCCAUAUCUCUAUGUUGGGGGUAUAGCUCAGUUGGUAGAGCGCCUGCUUUGCAAGCAGGAUGUCAGCGGUUCGAGUCCGCUUACCUCCACUGAUUACCACCUCUUCCAUAACCGGUAGAAAGGAAAUGUUUUGAGUUGUGAUCAAAUUCUGAAAGAAUCUAGCUUCCUAAUGAAAUCAUUAAGAUGCUGGACUCAUUGAAUUAAUUUCAUUGUUUUCAGAGAACCUUGACAACUGCAUAGAUUAUUUUUAAAGACAAUAAGCAUCUUUAAUGAUGCAGAUUUAUUAUUUGUGCGAAUGCAUUAAUAACAAUUCUAUUAAGCUGAUACUUCAA